CGUCGCGCCGCGGUGGCCAUCCAGGCUCCUUCCCCGGCUCCCCAGAGCCAGCCCCCCGCUCGGGAUUGGUCCUGUUCAGGACGCUGAGGGACACUAGGCUCUGGUGGCGGAGCCAGAAGCAGACAGACAGCGGGGUUUGCCACGGCCCUGUGGGUCAGAUCUGCUGCUCAUCACAGCUCACAGAGGCUGUGCGACCCAGAUGUCUGCGCCCCGGGACACCCACGAGCCUGCUCCAGUGCCUGCCACUCGGCGCGCCUAGCCUGGCCGCACAGCGAGCUCCCCAGGCGGCCUCCCGACUGAGCUGUGGUAAAAGAGACUGUUGACAACCGAAGCCCAGUGCGGAGGCGCUGCAAGAGCACACUGAACCAACAGUUCUUCCUAGCACCUGCUCCAUGGUAGGUGACUCACUGCACCCCCACAAGCCCUUCUCUUUUGCAUAGGUUAAGCUACAGUUUCUUUCAGAAUUAUGGUUGAUGCUACUCCUGUCUCUCAUGAGCUCUGUAUUGCAAAUCUGACGGUAUCUAGUGUCACUUGACCGUCGCUUAGCAAGACAUCCAGAGAUAGAUUUCAGAGUGUCUGUGAACUCUAACAUAGAUGCAAAUUGUAUGGUGUACUUUUUCCUGGUCAUGGAUUUUGUUAGUGUCUCAAAGGAGUCUAUAAGCCCAGAACAAUCACUAAUUAGUGACUUAAAUUUCCUUAGCCAGUAAAGGAGCUUUUGCC
RNAcentral lists this long non-coding RNA (720 nucleotides) under Cricetulus griseus (Chinese hamster). Its description in RNAcentral is "lncRNA (ENSCGRG00015040320.1)". Lineage: Eukaryota; Metazoa; Chordata; Mammalia; Rodentia; Cricetidae. The record is from RNAcentral.